UAUCUUCUCUAGGAAAGGUGAAAAAUCUGACACAGCAAUCCCGAACAGGUGAAACACUGAAUUGUGUUUUGAACCGAGACUCAGGAAAACAGGUGUGCCAGCCAUCUGUUGUUGUGUUGGGGAUGCUCUUCCCAAAAAUGUGUCCGUCCAGACAUUGAUUCACAGAAGACUGAGACUUACAAAGAGUUGAGGGAAAUGGGACAGAAGGAGGAGUCUCGUCUCCCUCUGGAGACCACAGCAGGAGACAGCGCAGGCAGUCCACACAGAUACCCAAGCUGCCCAAAUCAUCAGAGCCACUCAGGAGCUGCCGUCAGCACUUCCUGGGCUCCUGCAGGGUGUCCGGCUCCAUCACUUCAUGUUGCUCAUUGACAAAUGCCAAGGUGAGAGACUAUAGUGAGAUGAGAGAGGUGGGAGGUGCCAGCCUGCCUCCUUCUACACUACAGCCCGUGGAGGAAGAGGCCCAUUCGCUUUCCACCAGCUAUAAAUGUAAGAUACUUAUUAACAUUCAGGCUGGAUAAAGAGAGAAAACACGUCCACAGCUAUAUCACGGAAACAAUCCUGAUCCCUAAGGAAAAGAACAUGUACCACUCUUAACGGUGGAAAAAAUAAUUCCCUAUAAAAGAAUGUCUUAUCAGCAACAUUGGAUAAAAGAAGACAGUGGAGCAUCAAUUUAUAUCCAGCUAAAAUAUUAUAAUCUCUCAGGGUGAACAAAAACUGUUUGAGGAGAGGAAAGAAUUUGGAGAGACUAUCACUUAAGAACCGCAUCUGAUAACAGCACUGAGAAGACUAUUCCAACAACAAAUGAGAAAAUUCAGAAACCUGAAAAAGAUGAAAAAGAUGUGCAGCAUAGAAGCCCAUAUAUUUCUCCAGGCAUAACCACAUGUGUGACAACACUCUCCAGAAGCAGAAGUGAAUUCCUCUUACAAUACAUCCAAGGAGCGUUGACUGAGGGAGAUUUCACUUUCUGUGGACCGCAGCCAUCUCUUCAGUUUCUCCCUGUUACUGAAAUCUCAUUGUUACACUCAGAAUCUGUCUUCUCCCGGGGCUUACUUUCAAAGCAUUUCACUGCCUGUGACAAGACAGACUGGAGACGAUGCUGGGAGGCUGGGGAAGGUGGCAUGCUGAAGAAAAAUGCAAGGUAUGGUCCCUGCCCUAAAGAAAUAUAACCCAUCAAGAAAAGAAAGCAGCAUGAACUUCUUAAUGAAGUGUUUCCCCACUGUGGUCAUGGAUUAGUGAGGUGUCACAGACUUCUUUCAAGGUGCGAUUCCU
This is a long non-coding RNA of Equus caballus (horse), 1269 nucleotides long. Lineage: Eukaryota; Metazoa; Chordata; Mammalia; Perissodactyla; Equidae. The record is from Ensembl.